ACCUUAAAAAACAAAUUGGAACAACACAGAGAAGAUAGCAUGCCCCCUGUGCAAGGAUGACACACAAAUUGAGAAAUGAUCCAUAUUUUU
Molecule: non-coding RNA, 90 nt
Organism: Canis lupus familiaris (dog)
Lineage: Eukaryota; Metazoa; Chordata; Mammalia; Carnivora; Canidae
Source: Rfam